GUUUAUAGGCAUGAUCAAAUACAGGAUCAGAGUGGAUUUAGAACAAGAAACUUCACACACAUGUUUUGAGGAGCUCUGAGACUUAUUUAAACUGAGGAGAGUAAGUGACCUUUAAAGCUCCUGUGAGGAAUAUUUGUUUUUUGUUGGUUUUGGUGCCCCCUUUGGAGAAAGUAUGCUUCUCAUCUCUUUGCUGAUUUGUCAAAUGACAUCCGACACACAUGACCAGCAUUACAGCCUGUUUGUGGUUCUGCCUGCUGAAACUUUUCCUCAUUAUUAACAAAUAGAGCCACAGUUAAAACACACCAAAAUGCUAUCUCGCAGCUUGACAGAAAAUAUGUCAAUUCAGUGUACACAUGAAGACUUCUUUUUAUUUAGUCAGUUCAGCUCUCUUGUGUACACAGAAUCCACCUAUGUUCUGUCAAGCUGGUACUUCCUGCCAUCACCUGCACCUUUAAGGACUGACAGUGCUGUGCACAGAGCGUCUUCUUUUUACACCCUUUGAGAUGAUUUGCCUUCUCAGAAACGAAGACGUUUAAAUGAACUGUAUGUGCUUUGUCUCUGUUUUGCAGCUCUGCUCACCUGAAGCUUCAGGGGGGCUGAGUCGGUGUGUUUACUUGUUUUCUUUGCUCCCCUUUAGAGACCAGAUCUAAGAUAUUAUUUCUGAUGAAUGCUUUGUUUCUGUUUCCUUUCAUUGGCGUUACCCUCCUGUUACUGCUGGACUCUAAAGAAGCUUUUCACGUUGUUUUCUUCGCCCGUCUCUGUGAAGCACUUUGCUGAGAUUAUUGUGUUUCAAGUGCUUUAGAAAUAAAUUUGACUUUAACUGA
Molecule: long non-coding RNA, 824 nt
Organism: Labrus mixtus (cuckoo wrasse)
Lineage: Eukaryota; Metazoa; Chordata; Actinopteri; Labriformes; Labridae
Exons: 2
Source: RefSeq, a predicted model, not a curated record